GGGGGGGAGGGGGGGGGGGUCGAGGGGCUCCGUCUUCACCUGGUGCCUGGAGAGGAAAAGGCGCGGGCGGGGAGCGCUUUCUCCCCGCGGGUAGAGGGUGGGCGAGGUGGGUCCCGGUGGCCGUCACAGUCCCCCUCGGGGCUCGCUGGCCGCUUCCCCGGCCUCUCCCAUGGCUCAGCAGCGGCAUCCCAAGGAGGCGAAACGGGAGCCUCCUCUUCCUCCUCCUCCUCCGGCUCCUCCCGCGGGUCGGGCCGGGUGGGGGAUCCUCGCCGAUCGCCCCAUGGAAACCGAGCGUCCGGCAGCUCUCCGGGAGCGGGCCGGGCCGGCGGCACACAGCCGCACCCGUGCACACGGCCGGCCGAGCACACGCACCCCCGCCCCGAGCCCGGCCCCGCACGGCCGACGACGAGGCGAGCAGGAGCAGGAGCAGGAGCAGGAGCAGGAGCAGGAGCAGGAGCAAGAGCAGGAGCAGGAGCAGGAGCAGGAGGAGGCUCCACCGCCCGAUCCUCUCCGGCGCCCCCGGCUCCCGGCCCGGCCGUCUGGCAUAGCCUCCCUCUCACCUCUCCUGCAAGUUCGCCGCCGACCCAAAUCCACGCAAUUCCACUCGGGCACUUCAAUUAGAGGUGCUGGACCGCUUAUUGGGCUCAUGGAUCCCACAGAACUGAUCCCGUAG
This 673-nucleotide long non-coding RNA is filed under the name Ornithorhynchus anatinus (platypus). RNAcentral describes it as "lncRNA (ENSOANG00000042224.1)". Lineage: Eukaryota; Metazoa; Chordata; Mammalia; Monotremata; Ornithorhynchidae. The record is from RNAcentral.